AUGCCGCGUGUGUGAUGAAGGCCUUAGGGUCGUAAAGCACUUUCGCCAGAGAUGAUAAUGACAGUAUCUGGUAAAGAAACCCCGGCUAACUCCGUGCCAGCAGCCGCGGUAAUACGGMGGGGGUUAGCGUUGUUCGGAAUUACUGGGCGUAAAGCGCACGUAGGCGGACUGGAAAGUUGGGGGUGAAAUCCCAGGGCUCAACCCUGGAACUGCCUCCAAAACUAUCAGUCUAGAGUUCGAGAGAGGUGAGUGGAAUUCCGAGUGUAGAGGUGAAAUUCGUAGAUAUUCGGAGGAACACCAGUGGCGAAGGCGGCUCACUGGCUCGAUACUGACGCUGAGGUGCGAAAGUGUGGGGAGCAAACAGGAUUAGAUACCCUGGUAGUCCACACCGUAAACGAUGAAUGCCAGUCGUCGGGUUGCAUGCAAUUCGGUGACACACCUAACGGAUUAAGCAUUCCG
This 459-nucleotide ribosomal RNA is filed under the name uncultured Alphaproteobacteria bacterium. Its description in RNAcentral is "bacterial SSU rRNA". It matches the Rfam family "Bacterial small subunit ribosomal RNA", at positions 394 to 871 of the family's 1533-position model. Lineage: Bacteria; Pseudomonadati; Pseudomonadota; Alphaproteobacteria. The record is from RNAcentral.